GAUGAACGCUAGCGGCAGGCCUAACACAUGCAAGUCGAGGGAGGAGCCUUCGGGCUUCGACCGGCGUACGGGUGCGUAACGCGUAUACAAUCUGCCUUUCACUUAGGGAUAGCCCGAAGAAAUUUGGAUUAAUACCUAAUGGUAUAUAGAUGUGGCAUCACCUUUAUAUUAAAGCUGAGGCGGUGAAAGAUGAGUAUGCGUUCUAUUAGCUAGUUGGAGAGGUAACGGCUCCCCAAGGCGACGAUAGAUAGGGGUUCUGAGAGGGAUAUCCCCCACACUGGUACUGAGAUACGGACCAGACUCCUACGGGAGGCAGCAGUGAGGAAUAUUGGACAAUGGUCGGAAGACUGAUCCAGCCAUGCCGCGUGCAGGAAGACGGCCUUAUGGGUUGUAAACUGCUUUUGCAGGGGAAGAAUAAGGACUACGCGUAGUUUGAUGACGGUACUCUGCGAAUAAGCAUCGGCUAACUCCGUG
RNAcentral lists this ribosomal RNA (474 nucleotides) under uncultured bacterium. Its description in RNAcentral is "partial 16S ribosomal RNA". It matches the Rfam family "Bacterial small subunit ribosomal RNA", at positions 28 to 507 of the family's 1533-position model. The record is from RNAcentral.